UGGGGAAUAUUGCGCAAUGGGCGGAAGCCUGACGCAGCGACGCCGCGUGGGGGAUGACGGCCUUCGGGUUGUAAACCUCUUUUACCACUCACGAAGGCUCCCAGUGUUCUGGGGGUUGACGGUAGGUGGUGAAUAAGGACCGGCUAACUACGUGCCAGCAGCCGCGGUAAUACGUAGGGUCCGAGCGUUGUCCGGAAUUAUUGGGCGUAAAGAGCUCGUAGGCGGCCUGUCGCGUCUGCUGUGAAAGUCCGGGGCUUAACUUCGGGUGUGCAGUGGAUACGGGCAGGCUUGAGGUAGGUAGGGGAGACUGGAAUUCCUGGUGUAGCGGUGAAAUGCGCAGAUAUCAGGAGGAACACCGGUGGCGAAGGCGGGUCUCUGGGCCUUACCUGACGCUGAGGAGCGAAAGCGUGGGGAGCGAACAGG
Molecule: ribosomal RNA, 423 nt
Filed under: uncultured bacterium
Lineage: Bacteria
Also listed under: 1 other name
Description: partial 16S ribosomal RNA
Rfam family: Bacterial small subunit ribosomal RNA
Source: RNAcentral